GAUGAACGCUAGCGGCAGGCUUAACACAUGCAAGUCGAGGGGCAGCAGGGUAGCAAUACUCGCUGGCGACCGGCAAACGGGCGCGGAACACGUACAGAAUCUACCUUUAUCUGGGGAAUAGCCCGAAGAAAUUCGGAUUAAUACCCCACUAAUAUACGAGAGUGGCAUCACUCAUGUAUUAAAACUACCGGUGGAUAGAGAUGACUGUGCGUCCCACUUAGCUAGUU
RNAcentral lists this ribosomal RNA (227 nucleotides) under uncultured bacterium. RNAcentral's name for it is "partial 16S ribosomal RNA". It matches the Rfam family "Bacterial small subunit ribosomal RNA", at positions 28 to 250 of the family's 1533-position model. The record is from RNAcentral.